GUGGAUUAGAUACCCUGGUAGUCCACGCCGUAAACGAUGAGUGCUAGGUGUUAGGGGUUUCGAUACCCUUGGUGCCGAAGUUAACACAGUAAGCACUCCGCCUGGGGAGUACGGUCGCAAGACUGAAACUCAAAGGAAUUGACGGGGACCCGCACAAGCAGUGGAGUAUGUGGUUUAAUUCGAAGCAACGCGAAGAACCUUACCAGGUCUUGACAUCCCAAUGAAAGCAUUAGAGAUAGUGCCCCUCUUCGGAGCAUUGGAGACAGGUGGUGCACGGUUGUCGUCAACU
This 289-nucleotide ribosomal RNA is filed under the name uncultured bacterium. RNAcentral describes it as "partial 16S ribosomal RNA". It matches the Rfam family "Bacterial small subunit ribosomal RNA", at positions 773 to 1060 of the family's 1533-position model. The record is from RNAcentral.